Long non-coding RNA from Triticum dicoccoides, 647 nucleotides. RefSeq lists it as uncharacterized. Lineage: Eukaryota; Viridiplantae; Streptophyta; Magnoliopsida; Poales; Poaceae. The record is from RefSeq and is a predicted model, not a curated record. The transcript is spliced from 2 exons.
GGCAGCCCCUCUCGGCGACGACCACCACGGGUGUGCCUCCAUCUCCCUCGAGACUCCAGCUCCCCGGCGGCCUUCCCUCCUUCCCCCAAGUCCAUGAUCACUGCUGCUUCAAGGCCGAGGAGGCCAUCGGGUAGCAGCGAGCUCGGGGUCGCAGUCCAACAAUGCAAGGAGCCAAGGAGGGUGGUCCAGCCGAGAGAAGGAGGUUGCGAGAGGGGAUGAAGCGGCAGUUGCGCGGCCGCGUUGACCCGAGCUGGUUGCGAGAGCGGAUGGAGUGGCGGCUUCACGGAUUCCUUAUUGGAGGUGCCGCAUCUGCUUCAUCUUGCGAUUAUAUAGGUUGUAAGAAAGAGCCAAGAUUAAAACUGGUGCAUAGCAUCCAGGUUUUUGUCGAACUGCGAUGGAGAUCGCUCUUCUGUUGUUGGAUGUGAGAGCCCCUCUCAUGCCGGAGAACACUAUACAUGUUUUUUUGUGUUCCCUAUUAACAGCUAUAAGUGCAGCGGGGUUAAAACAGUGUGGCGGGAAACAUGAGAGAAGAUGAUUGUACGUGGUAUAUGUAUGAUAGAAUCAAUGGAAGCGAUUGGCUUAGUAAGUUUACAUGGAGAAACAGUUCAAGAAAUAUCUUGUUUGAACAGCUUAGCAUGUUUUUUCUU